Molecule: ribosomal RNA, 253 nt
Filed under: uncultured bacterium
Lineage: Bacteria
Description: partial 16S ribosomal RNA
Rfam family: Bacterial small subunit ribosomal RNA
Source: RNAcentral
UACGUAGGGUGCUAGCGUUGUUCGGAAUCACUGGGCGUAAAGGGAGUGUAGGCGGGAUCGUAAGUUAGGAGUUUAAUGCAUGGGCUUAACCCAUGAUCUGCUUUUAAUACUGCGGUUCUUGAGUAUGGGAGAGGGCGAUGGAAUUCCAGGUGUAGCGGUGGAAUGCGUAGAUAUCUGGAAGAACACCAGUAGCGAAGGCGGUCGCCUGGCCCAAUACUGACGCUGAUGCUCGAAAGCUAGGGGAGCAAACAGG